CAGCAGCCGCGGUAAUACGAAGGGGGCUAGCGUUGCUCGGAAUCACUGGGCGUAAAGGGUGCGUAGGCGGGUCUUUAAGUCAGAGGUGAAAUCCUGGAGCUCAACUCCAGAACUGCCUUUGAUACUGGAGAUCUCGAGUUCGGGAGAGGUGAGUGGAACUGCGAGUGUAGAGGUGAAAUUCGUAGAUAUUCGCAAGAACACCAGUGGCGAAGGCGGCUCACUGGCCCGAUACUGACGCUGAGGCACGAAAGCGUGGGGAGCAAACAGGAUUAGAUACCCGGGUAGUCCCUGUCUCUUAUAC
RNAcentral lists this ribosomal RNA (301 nucleotides) under uncultured bacterium. RNAcentral's name for it is "partial 16S ribosomal RNA". It matches the Rfam family "Bacterial small subunit ribosomal RNA", at positions 509 to 807 of the family's 1533-position model. The record is from RNAcentral.